AUGCAGAUACAUGAACAUGACAAGAUUAAACCUAACAUUCACCUCCCUAAUCUUGACAUGUCAACUCUUCUACUCUUGAUGCAGAUCACCUGCAAUGUCUUGCCAGGGACGAUGCCAUCACACGGCCGAUCUCCACUCCAUCUCGCCGUGGACGCCGUCGCAGCACCGAUACGCACCUUGUCGUGGACGCGCCAUCGCAGUGCCGAACUCGACAUCACCAUCAUGGCUUCAACCACGCCUUCGCAGCAGCGGUCACCAAGCCAUCUUGCCGCAGCAUCACGCUGCAAUCUUGUUGGCUUCACACCAACUCUUCAUGAUGGCGAUGGCAUCGCACCACCGCCAUCGGCAUCACACCGACUCGAGUGA
Molecule: ribosomal RNA, 366 nt
Filed under: Triticum aestivum (bread wheat)
Lineage: Eukaryota; Viridiplantae; Streptophyta; Magnoliopsida; Poales; Poaceae
Description: partial small subunit ribosomal RNA
Source: RNAcentral